This 1343-nucleotide ribosomal RNA is filed under the name uncultured bacterium. RNAcentral's name for it is "16S ribosomal RNA". It matches the Rfam family "Bacterial small subunit ribosomal RNA", at positions 28 to 1378 of the family's 1533-position model. The record is from RNAcentral.
GACGAACGCUGGCGGCGUGCUUAACACAUGCAAGUCGAACGGAAAGGCCCUGCUUUUGUGGGGUGCUCGAGUGGCGAACGGGUGAGUAACACGUGAGUAACCUGCCCUUGACUUUGGGAUAACUUCAGGAAACUGGGGCUAAUACCGGAUAGGAGCUCCUGCUGCAUGGUGGGGGUUGGAAAGUUUCGGCGGUUGGGGAUGGACUCGCGGCUUAUCAGCUUGUUGGUGGGGUAGUGGCUUACCAAGGCUUUGACGGGUAGCCGGCCUGAGAGGGUGACCGGCCACAUUGGGACUGAGAUACGGCCCAGACUCCUACGGGAGGCAGCAGUGGGGAAUAUUGCACAAUGGGCGGAAGCCUGAUGCAGCAACGCCGCGUGCGGGAUGACGGCCUUCGGGUUGUAAACCGCUUUCGCCUGUGACGAAGCGUGAGUGACGGUAAUGGGUAAAGAAGCACCGGCUAACUACGUGCCAGCAGCCGCGGUGAUACGUAGGGUGCGAGCGUUGUCCGGAUUUAUUGGGCGUAAAGGGCUCGUAGGUGGUUGAUCGCGUCGGAAGUGUAAUCUUGGGGCUUAACCCUGAGCGUGCUUUCGAUACGGGUUGACUUGAGGAAGGUAGGGGAGAAUGGAAUUCCUGGUGGAGCGGUGGAAUGCGCAGAUAUCAGGAGGAACACCAGUGGCGAAGGCGGUUCUCUGGGCCUUUCCUGACGCUGAGGAGCGAAAGCGUGGGGAGCGAACAGGCUUAGAUACCCUGGUAGUCCACGCUGUAAACGGUGGGUACUAGGUGUGGGGUCCAUUCCACGGGUUCCGUGCCGUAGCUAACGCUUUAAGUACCCCGCCUGGGGAGUACGGCCGCACGGCUAAAACUCAAAGGAAUUGACGGGGCCCCGCACAAGCGGCGGAGCACGCGGAUUAAUUCGAUGCAACGCGUAGAACCUUACCUGGGUUUGACAUGGAUCGGGAGUGCUCAGAGAUGGGUGUGCCUCUUUUGGGGUCGGUUCACAGGUGGUGCAUGGCUGUCGUCAGCUCGUGUCGUGAGAUGUUGGGUUAAGUCCCGCAACGAGCGCAACCCUUGUUCACUGUUGCCAGCACGUUAUGGUGGGGACUCAGUGGAGACCGCCGGGGUCAACUCGGAGGAAGGUGGGGACGACGUCAAGUCAUCAUGCCCCUUAUGUCCAGGGCUUCACGCAUGCUACAAUGGCUGGUACAGAGAGUGGCGAGCCUGUGAGGGUGAGCGAAUCUCGGAAAGCCGGUCUCAGUUCGGAUUGGGGUCUGCAACUCGACCUCAUGAAGUCGGAGUCGCUAGUAAUCGCAGAUCAGCAACGCUGCGGUGAAUACGUUCCCGGG